This 320-nucleotide ribosomal RNA is filed under the name uncultured eukaryote. RNAcentral describes it as "partial 18S ribosomal RNA". It matches the Rfam family "Eukaryotic small subunit ribosomal RNA", at positions 1470 to 1796 of the family's 1831-position model. The record is from RNAcentral.
CCCUUAGAUGUUCUGGGCUGCACGCGUGCUACAAUCGGGAGUACAACAAGAUUGCAAAUCCUAGUGGAUGAGUGGUUCUUCGAAAUUUUCUGAAGACUGGGAUAGUUGAUUGAAAUUAUUCAACUCGAACGAGGAAUUCCUUGUAAUUGUAAUUCAUUAUAUUGUAAUGAAUACGUCCCUGCCCUUUGUACACACCGCCCGUCGCUCCUACCGAUUGAACGAUCCGGUGAAUUAUUUGGAGUAGCUCUGGAAGUUGCAGAACUUCCUAUGUCACGAAAUUUUGUAAACCUUAUCGUUUAGAGGAAGGAAAAGUCGUAACA